UGUGUUAUAGUUUGAUUCACUACUCGUAGGGCCUUCAUUAAAUCAACGUAAAAAUUUGAUGCAUGUGUUCAAAACAAGAUGAAGAUCUAAAGUUAACGAAAUUGCAACUUUUCAUAAUACUGUGUGACCGUGGUGUGGCUUCCAGUUUGAGGAAUGAAAACAUCUAUAUCUGGCAGAUGUGCUGCAAUAUUUAGUCACUAGAUGGCAGUGUCAGACCAUGCUUUGUGUUAUCUAUGCAUUAACAGACUGUGUUUACAGGGUGGCCAACUUUAGAGGAGAAUUAAACCUUUUACAGCAUUGCUCAAACUUUGGUUUUAGUCUCAAUCGCUAAGUUCUUCCUUCAUGACAACUCUGAGGGGGGUGUAUUUUAUUUUAACUCCCUUGUUUAAGCGAUAUAGAUGUUUGAAAUUCACGUGACGUCACAGUGUAAGCUGUGCUGUGUGUUGUGAGUUCGGCUUUCACCAGUUACACGUGAACGCCUCAUGAAAUGGCUUACACCCACAUACCCGGUAAAUUACACACUUUGAUGUUCUGCUCCUUCUCCUGACGGUCACGGUAACGAUGUCUGCGCCUCCGUUUCUGUGGAUGUCCAGCGUGAGACACAACUUGAAUCCAACCAGACUGAACACUGACUCCAGGGACGGACGAGCCUGAAGGACACAGCUGUGAUGACCAAUUGACCAUGUUUUGUCUCUUAUGGCAAAGCAGAAAUAUUAAACACUGGGUUCUUAUCUAAAGUGUACCAAAUCAGAAAGCAAAAGAUACACAUUGUUGUUAUAAGUUUUUAUUAUUUUAACCAACCAUAAUGAAGAUAGAAAUGAAUUCUUAUCCAUGCCACUUAGCAAUGACUGCCACCACCAAACAGUUGCAGGCCAUCUUUAUUUAAGGGAGGAAUUUAGAAGUGUUGUGUAGCUUCUGAUGAUGAUGCAGUCGUCCACUUGUUGACCACCAUGUUGCUGCUGACGACGUCAGGUGCUGCAGUUCCUCAUCUAUAAAGAGAAGAAACGCACUGUUAAAGAAUGUUUUGAGUUGUGUAUGAAGCACAACAGAUUUCAGAUAGAACCGUUGUACUGUGGUCUGGGUUUGUAUCCUAAUGGUUAAAUGCACAUAUUUUAAGUCGCUUUUGAUAAAAGUACUGAAAGAAAUACAACAUUGUAAAAAUAGAUAAAAUGUCUUUCUACCUCAUCUGUAAUAUUCAAGGUGAUAAUCUCCCACAGAGCUAUUGAUAACAGUCCACAUCAAGUCUCUCCACUUCCCUCAGUGUGAAAACAUAAUUAUAUAAUUAAUUUGAGAACUGUUUACAACACUGAUGUGUGGAGAUUAAAAUCAUAUCUAAACUGUCUAAUUCACUGUAAAACUCCAUGACAUUCGCAGGCCAUCUGUAGUUAAGGGAGCAACGUAUGGAGUGAUGUGUAGAGGGCAGAAACUUGGACUAUGGGCAGAGAAGGUCUCUGGUUCGUCUCCGGUUCGACUCCACGGAGAGACAACAAAAGACAAACCUGGAUUGAUCUGUCCAAAAAUCCAAGAGUCUCCCUACCCUCUCUAGUGCCCCUGAGCAAGGCACCUCACUCCCCCAACAUCUGCUCCGUGAGCGCCGUACAUGGUCGCUCACUGCUCUGUGUGUCCUGCACCAGAUGGGUAAAAAGCAGAGAUUAAAUUUCCCUACCUGCAUGAGUGUGCCUUUGCAUGUCUGUGCAUGUGUUUGGGACGAAUAAAUGGAUCUUAAUCUUAA
Long non-coding RNA from Pleuronectes platessa (European plaice), 1732 nucleotides. RefSeq lists it as uncharacterized. The record is from RefSeq and is a predicted model, not a curated record. NCBI's taxonomy places the organism in Eukaryota, Metazoa, Chordata, Actinopteri, Pleuronectiformes, Pleuronectidae. The transcript has 3 exons.